Molecule: ribosomal RNA, 424 nt
Filed under: uncultured prokaryote
Description: bacterial SSU rRNA
Rfam family: Bacterial small subunit ribosomal RNA
Source: RNAcentral
UGAGGAAUAUUGGACAAUGGGCGCAAGCCUGAUCCAGCCAUGCCGCGUGAGUGAUGAAGGCCCUAGGGUUGUAAAGCUCUUUCACCGGUGAAGAUAAUGACGGUAACCGGAGAAGAAGCCCCGGCUAACUUCGUGCCAGCAGCCGCGGUAAUACGAAGGGGGCUAGCGUUGUUCGGAAUUACUGGGCGUAAAGCGCACGUAGGCGGAUUGUUUAGUCAGGGGUGAAAUCCCGAGGCUCAACCUCGGAACUGCCCUUGAUACUGGCAAUCUUGAGUCCGGGAGAGGUGAGUGGAAUUCCGAGUGUAGAGGUGAAAUUCGUAGAUAUUCGGAGGAACACCAGUGGCGAAGGCGGCUCACUGGCCCGGUACUGACGCUGAGGUGCGAAAGCGUGGGGAGCAAACAGGAUUAGAUACCCCCGUAGUCC